AAAAGGUGGCUAUGCUACCGCUUUUGGAUGGGCCCGCGGCGCAUUAGCUAGUUGGUGGGGUAAAGGCUUACCAAGGCAAUGAUGCGUAGCCGAACUGAGAGGUUGAUCGGCCACAUUGGGACUGAGACACGGCCCAAACUCCUACGGGAGGCAGCAGUAGGGAAUCUUCCACAAUGGGCGAAAGCCUGAUGGAGCAACGCCGCGUGGGUGAAGAAGGUCUUCGGAUCGUAAAACCCUGUUGUUAGAGAAGAAAGUGCGUGAGAGUAACUGUUCACGUUUCGACGGUAUCUAACCAGAAAGCCACGGCUAACUACGUGCCAGCAGCCGCGGUAAUACGUAGGUGGCAAGCGUUAUCCGGAUUUAUUGGGCGUAAAGGGAACGCAGGCGGUCUUUUAAGCCUGAUGUGAAAGCCUUCGGCUUAACCGGAGUAGUGCAUUGGAAACUGGGAGACUUGAGUGCAGAAGAGGAGAGUGGAACUCCAUGUGUAGCGGUGAAAUGCGUAGAUAUAUGGAAGAACACCAGUGGCGAAAGCGGCUCUCUGGUCUGUAACUGACGCUGAGGUUCGAAAGCGUGGGUAGCAAACAGGAUUAGAUACCCUGGUAGUCCACGCCGUAAACGAUGAAUGCUAAGUGUUGGAGGGUUUCCGCCCUUCA
This 653-nucleotide ribosomal RNA is filed under the name uncultured bacterium. RNAcentral describes it as "bacterial SSU rRNA". It matches the Rfam family "Bacterial small subunit ribosomal RNA", at positions 202 to 842 of the family's 1533-position model. The record is from RNAcentral.